GGAGAGGGGCUGAAAUCAGAUAAAAGCGUGUUUUUUGGCUGGCAGCCAGAAGGUCAGGGGUUCAAGUCCCCUAUCCUCCA
This 80-nucleotide transfer RNA is filed under the name Planctomycetaceae bacterium. RNAcentral describes it as "tRNA-Ala". The record is from RNAcentral. Lineage: Bacteria; Pseudomonadati; Planctomycetota; Planctomycetia; Planctomycetales; Planctomycetaceae.